This 1794-nucleotide small RNA is filed under the name Pan troglodytes (chimpanzee). RNAcentral's name for it is "retained intron". Lineage: Eukaryota; Metazoa; Chordata; Mammalia; Primates; Hominidae. The record is from RNAcentral.
AAAGCUGGGGGAGGCGCUCCGGGAUACUGAGGGCGGAGGGCGGUGGCAGCGCUGGCGCUGGGGACCGGCUUGGUGGCUUCGGGAAACAGUUUGGCGCCGGCGGCCGUCCGUGUUACUCCGCAUCCCGCCCCGUCUCGGCACGGCUAGCAGCCCCCCUGGCCACCAGCGUCCAGCAAUGUGUCUCACCGGCCGGGCGUAGCAGCUGCGCGUGCGCGGAACCGCGGGGCCAUGAGCGAAGCCGGCGGCCGGGGCUGUGGGUCCCCGGUUCCCCAGCGAGCGCGAUGGAGCCUAGUGGCGGCGACGGCCGCGUUCUGCCUGGUGUCGGCCACCUCCGUGUGGACGGCGGGGGCCGAGCCCAUGAGUAGGGAGGAGAAACAGAAGCUUGGGAACAUGCUUACCCUGCUGAUGAACUCAUGCCUUUAACCUGUAGAGGUCGAGUUAGAGGCCAAGAGCCAAGUCGCGGUGACGUUGAUGAUGCCUUGGGAAAAUUUUCUCUGACACUGAUUGAUUCUUUGGACACUCUUGUGGUUUUAAAUAAAACUAAAGAAUUUGAAGAUGCAGUGAGAAAAGUUUUAAGAGAUGUUAAUUUAGAUAACGAUGUAGUCGUAUCAGUCUUUGAAACAAACAUCAGAGUUCUUGGGGGUCUUUUGGGUGGGCACUCCCUGGCAAUCAUGCUGAAAGAAAAAGGUGAAUAUAUGCAGUGGUACAAUGAUGAACUUCUCCAAAUGGCAAAGCAGUUAGGUUACAAACUUUUACCGGCUUUCAACACUACCAGUGGCCUUCCUUAUCCAAGAAUUAAUUUAAAGUUUGGCAUCAGAAAACCAGAAGCUCGGACAGGAACUGAGACAGAUACCUGUACAGCUUGUGCAGGUACCUUGAUCCUUGAAUUUGCUGCUUUAAGUCGAUUCACAGGAGCAACAAUAUUUGAGGAAUAUGCCAGAAAAGCUCUUGAUUUUCUCUGGGAAAAAAGACAGCGAAGUAGUAAUUUAGUGGGCGUGACUAUAAAUAUUCAUACUGGAGAUUGGGUACGAAAAGAUAGUGGAGUUGGAGCAGGGAUUGAUUCAUAUUAUGAAUAUCUGUUGAAAGCCUAUGUCUUGCUUGGAGAUGACAGUUUUCUGGAAAGAUUUAACACAGUAAGUUGAUACAAUUUUAUAUUUUAUAAUCAACUUCAUUUGAGUCCAAAUUUUUAUAGAAACUCCAUUACCUGAAUGACAUUGUAAAAAUAAUUUUUAAAAUGUGUAGUGGUUUUGUGUCAGUAUUUCCUGAUGAUGUUGAACAAGGACAGCGUAAAAAGUGAUAUACAUUCCAAAAAAUCAGUUGAUAAAGUAGUUUUAUUUUCACCUUUUAUCAGAAACUUUGCAGAUCUGCCAAUAAGAGAUGUAAUAGAUUUGAGUUUUACCUAAUCUUGUUUGUACAAGGAUAAGAAUUAUUGAAAUAUGUUACUAGUUAGCUUUUUCCUUUGUAUUUCAAUUCUUUUUGAAAUCUUGGAAGUUUGGCUUAGUCUUUGAUUACAUCAAGGAUACAGGGCUUUGAAGACCUGGAGAAACUAGUGAGUAUUCAUUUCAAAAGCAAGUCUUAAGACUGGUUCAGAACCACAAGCAUGUUUUUUGGGAAAAGUGGGAGGAUUAUUGAACCCAAUUGAAUCACCUUUUUAACUGAAGCAAACUGAAAUGAAUAUAGCAAACUCAUCAGUUAUAUCACUAUAUUCUUUUUAAACUAAUCUACCAUUUCUUUGCUCACCUAUCAGUUCAUCCAUGUUGUAUGUAUGAGACAGUAUGACAUGGUGAUUAAAAG